AUACGUAGGGUGCGAGCGUUGUCCGGAAUUACUGGGCGUAAAGAGCUCGUAGGUGGUUUGUCGCGUCGUCUGUGAAAUUCCGGGGCUUAACUCCGGGCGUGCAGGCGAUACGGGCAUACCUUGCGUACUGUAGGGGAGACUGGAAUUCCUGGUGUAGCGGUGAACUGCGCAGAUAUCAGGAGGAACACCGGUGGCGAAGGCGGGUCUCUGGGCAGUAACGGACGCUGAGGAGCGAAAGCAUGGGUAGCGAACAGGAUUAGAUACCCUGGUAGUCCAUGCCGUAAACGGUGGGCGCUAGGUGUAGGGGUCUUCCACGACUUCUGUGCCGUAGCUAACGCAUUAAGCGCCCCGCCUGGGGAGUACGGCCGCAAGGCUAAAACUCAAAGGAAUUGACGGGG
Molecule: ribosomal RNA, 398 nt
Filed under: uncultured bacterium
Lineage: Bacteria
Description: partial 16S ribosomal RNA
Rfam family: Bacterial small subunit ribosomal RNA
Source: RNAcentral